This 488-nucleotide ribosomal RNA is filed under the name uncultured bacterium. RNAcentral describes it as "bacterial SSU rRNA". It matches the Rfam family "Bacterial small subunit ribosomal RNA", at positions 30 to 507 of the family's 1533-position model. The record is from RNAcentral.
AUUGAACGCUGGCGGCAUGCCUAACACAUGCAAGUCGAACGGUAACGCAAGAAGCUUGCUUCUUGGCGACGAGCGGCGGACGGGUGAGUAAUACUUAGGAAUCUGCCCAGUAGUGGGGGACAACUCGGGGAAACUCGAGCUAAUACCGCAUACGCCCUACGGGGGAAAGCGGGGGAUCUUCGGACCUCGCGCUAUUGGAUGAGCCUAAGUCGGAUUAGCUUGUUGGUGGGGUAACGGCCUACCAAGGCGACGAUCCGUAGCUGGUCUGAGAGGACGAUCAGCCACACUGGGACUGAGACACGGCCCAGACUCCUACGGGAGGCAGCAGUGGGGAAUAUUGGACAAUGGGGGCAACCCUGAUCCAGCAAUGCCGCGUGUGUGAAGAAGGCCUGCGGGUUGUAAAGCACUUUCAGUAGAGAAGAAAAGCUUAGGGUUAAUACCCUUGAGUCUUGACGUAACCUACAGAAGAAGCACCGGCUAACUCCGUG